RNAcentral lists this ribosomal RNA (468 nucleotides) under uncultured bacterium. Its description in RNAcentral is "partial 16S ribosomal RNA". It matches the Rfam family "Bacterial small subunit ribosomal RNA", at positions 28 to 507 of the family's 1533-position model. The record is from RNAcentral.
GACGAACGCUGGCGGCGUGCUUAACACAUGCAAGUCGAACGGAAAGGCCCUGCUUUUGUGGGGUGCUCGAGUGGCGAACGGGUGAGUAACACGUGAGUAACCUGCCCUUGACUUUGGGAUAACUUCAGGAAACUGGGGCUAAUACCGGAUAGGAGCUCCUGCUGCAUGGUGGGGGUUGGAAAGUUUCGGCGGUUGGGGAUGGACUCGCGGCUUAUCAGCUUGUUGGUGGGGUAGUGGCUUACCAAGGCUUUGACGGGUAGCCGGCCUGAGAGGGUGACCGGCCACAUUGGGACUGAGAUACGGCCCAGACUCCUACGGGAGGCAGCAGUGGGGAAUAUUGCACCAUGGGCGGAAGCCUGAUGCAGCAACGCCGCGUGCGGGAUGAAGGCCUUCGGGUUGUAAACCGCUUUCGCCUGUGACGAAGCGUGAGUGACGGUAAUGGGUAAAGAAGCACCGGCUAACUACGUG